RNAcentral lists this transfer RNA (77 nucleotides) under Sphaerodactylus townsendi. RNAcentral describes it as "tRNA-Ala". Lineage: Eukaryota; Metazoa; Chordata; Lepidosauria; Squamata; Sphaerodactylidae. The record is from RNAcentral.
GCGGGACGGUGGCUCAGUGGCUGAGUGUCUGCUCUGCACCCAGAAGGCCGCAGGUUCCAUCCCAGGCACCUGCAGCU